This 1994-nucleotide long non-coding RNA is filed under the name Sarcophilus harrisii (Tasmanian devil). RNAcentral's name for it is "lncRNA (ENSSHAG00000026530.1)". Lineage: Eukaryota; Metazoa; Chordata; Mammalia; Dasyuromorphia; Dasyuridae. The record is from RNAcentral.
CCCCUUUCCUGCCUGGUCUUAAGCUGGAAUACUUGCAGAUGGCUCCAUCUGAAACAGACCUCCCUGGCCGAGAGCAAAGUCACCUAUCCCAGAGUCAGAUCUGCCCCUCCCCUUGCCGCAUAUGUGGUACGGAGGUGGAUGGCCGGGGUGAAAAGGAGGGGGGUUCUCUGCCCCACCCCGCUCCUCUACUUUCCAUCCCCCGAUAAGCCUCAGCUGCCUUUCUCCUGGGAAAGGAGAGCCUGUGACAGCCCGGAGAGGCCCUCUUCAGCCUGGCCCUCGCCAGGGCAGAAUGUUAAGCCGAGGGGCUCCAGUGAAACGGGAGCCAGCGUUUCUAAAUUAAGGUUAACCAUCCCUGGUGCAGUUAGCGGAUCUUGGAAUAACUGGAGGCCUUUUACCAUUCCAGCUGUUCUCUGAAUACAAUCCAGAAUAUCAAUGUCCUCUCUAAAAUGCAGUUCUCCAAAUUGAACAUGAUAUAAAGAAAGAUUGCCUGGCUUACAACCAAAAGAACAAAUCAGUUGAGUGAUUUUUAUGGUAUUCUGGCAAAACCCAACACUUGGCUUCUUCCCAGUUAAGUUUGUUGGUAUUACUGAAAAAGUCCUUCUGUUCAAAAAAGUCAAGUUAACCUCCAGGUUGAAAAGAAGGAGGCUUUACAUCCUAGUCAAAGGGGAGUGGAAAAUUGGGUUGUGCUUUAGAUAAGUAUGUAAUAUUUCCUUGCAUAUCAUUUGUUCAAGUUACGUUAUUGACUUUGGAAAUGCAAGUUAUGAAAACUAAAAAGAAAAAAAAGAGGUUCUUCCCAUGAGGCAAUCGAACUGAAGAAUUACAAGUUCAAGCUAAAAUGUCAUCUUGAACAUGCCUUCCUCACCAUCGUAUUACUUAAGAGCGUAGUGUUAUAUUACCACUGAAUUUCCUGUCCCAGAUAAGGUUAAGCUAGAUAUUUGAUGUUAUUUAAAUAGUUUUAAAUAUUUUAUGAUAUCUAGAAUUAUGCCAUUUUCCAUAGCUCACACCCUGUACUUUAAUGUUUUAUUUGCCAAAAAUGAAGGAAAAAUAUCUUUCUCAUGUACACACAGCAGCUUGGGCAAUAUGUGCAAUUUUGUGCUUAGCACAAAAACAACAAAGAAAUAGGUUAAGCAGCCCUACCACCUCCUCAAUCAUCGUAUAUAUAUUUUAUAGACUGGGCAGGACAAGGUAGAGAGAAAUAUGCCCCAAAUAUGUGAAUGUAUGAGUCUAUAUAUUUUUGCUUAAAGCAGUGUUCAAGCAUACUGCCGUUAAAUUGUUUUCUGCUAAAAGCGUUUGAAGUCCUUCCAUCCCAGGAGAGCAUUAUAAAAGAAGUAUGGCUAUCUAAAGGAAAUUUGCCCUGGAUGAGAAUUUUGUACAAAAAUCCACAUGCCACAUUUUUUUCAAGGCAGACAUGUUGCCAAUUAAAAACCAAGGUGUAGUGGAGAAGUCAGAAAUCCCACAUUAUUUUUCCACAACUCCAGGAUGGAUAAUAUUCACAUUACAUUGAAAUGAGUAAGAUAUGUCCAGUAGAAACUGAAUGGAUGCCCAUCAAUUGGAGAAUGGCUGAAUAAAUUAUGAUAUAUGAAUGUUAUGGAAUAUUAUUGUUCUGUAAGAAAUGACCAACAGGAUGAUUUCAGAGAGGUCUGGAGAGACUUACACGAACUGAUGCUGAGUGAGAUGAGCAGAACCAGGAGAUCAUUAUACACGGCAACAGCAAGAUUGAACAAUGAUCAACUCUGAUGGACGUGGCUCUCCUCAACAAUGAGAUGAUUCAAACCAGUUCCAACUGUUCAGUGAUAAAGAUAAAGUGAUGAAGAGGGUCAUCUACAAGUCUGUGUGAACUAAGUGUGGAUCACAACAUAGCAUGUUCAUGCUUUCUGUUAUUGUUUGCUUGCAUGUUUGUUUUCUUCUCAGGUUUUUUUUUUUUCCUUCUUGAUCUGAUUUUUCUUGUGCAGCAAGAUUACUGUAUAAAUAUGUAUACACAUAUUGUAUUUAAC